GUAUUUAGGUAGCUUGUUUACUGCGUUUUAGUCAAAUCUUGAGUAGUUUUUGUUAAUUUGAUAUCUGCUUUUUUCUUUGUAGUUCCUCUAUAAAAAGUUACUUUAAUAGUAUCAUUAAUAUCGUGUCCGUAUAGACUACUUUGUAAAUCACUAAUUGAAUUAACUGUUUUGCCAUCAAUUUCUGUAAUCACAUCGUACUGAGCAAGUUUGCCAGAUGCCGGCAUUCCUUCCUUAACUUCUGCUACUACAAUACCACCAGUUACACUAGUUGGAAUAUUAAUUUGACUAAGAGCAUUUGUGGAUAAGUCAUUUAAAUUGACCAUGGAUAUUCCAAGAGCAGGUCUGAUAACUUCACCAUUAGUUUCUAGUUGUUUAAUAAUUUUAAUAACAUCAGUAGAUGGGAUAGCAAAACCAAUUCCUUCAACAGCACCACUAUUACCGUUGCUACCAGUUGGGGUAGAAGAAAUUUUACUUGAAUUAAUUCCGAUUACUUGCCCCUCAAUAUUAAUUAGUGGUCCACCAGAGUUUCCAGGGUUAAUAGCAGCAUCUGUCUGAAUAGCAUUUGUUGAGACAGUCUCACCAUUCUCGUUUUUUAAAGUUACAGUACGACUUAAACUAGAGACGAUUCCUUGAGUAACAGAAUUAGCGUAUUGUGUUCCUAGUGGGCUGCCGAUAGCAAUAGCAACUUCUCCAACAUUUAGUUUUGUAGAAUCUGCAAAUUCAGCUACUGUUUUUAUCUUAUCUGAAGAGAUCUUAACAACAGCUAAAUCCGAAUAAGUAUCAGCUCCAACUAAUUCACCAACAACUUUAGAUCCGUCUGCCAUAAGAAUUUCAAUUCGUUUAGCUCCGUCGAUAACAUGGUUAUUAGUAACAACGUAAGCGGAGUUGCCAUCUUUUCGAUAAAUGACCCCAGAUCCUUCACUAAAAAUAGAUAAUUCAGCAUCCUUAUUCUCUUUUGAACGCCCUUCUCCAAAGAGUUUUGUAUAAGGGUUAGAAAGGGAUGAAGAAGGGUUAUCUUGAUAAUUAAUAACUGAUACAACUGCAUUUUGAACAGCUUUGACAGCUUUAGUAGUAUUGGUUGUGUUGUUAAAAACCAUAUUACUAGUUGUUGCCUUACCUGAAUUUAUUUUUGAUGGAGAAUGUGGGUAGAGAUUAUUGAAUGUAAUAAUUGCUAUUAAUCCUCCUAAAAAUCCAAUUAGUAAAAUACUUAAGGAUUUUAAGAUAUGUUUCAUACUUGGCAUGUUUUGUCCUCCGAAUUAUUUGUCCAUAGCUUAUAGAACUUUGCUUAAUUAUACCUUAAAAAUAAAAAAAAGAAAAGUAAUCCACAGCCUGUGGAUUACUUUUCUUU
This 1348-nucleotide non-coding RNA is filed under the name Streptococcus pyogenes. The record is from RNAcentral. Lineage: Bacteria; Bacillati; Bacillota; Bacilli; Lactobacillales; Streptococcaceae.